RNAcentral lists this ribosomal RNA (917 nucleotides) under Lepiota chiangraiensis. Its description in RNAcentral is "partial large subunit ribosomal RNA". Lineage: Eukaryota; Fungi; Basidiomycota; Agaricomycetes; Agaricales; Agaricaceae. The record is from RNAcentral.
UUACCCCGCUUGAACUUAAGCAUAUCAAUAAGCGGAGGAAAAGAAACUAACAGGRUUCCCCUAGUAACUGCGAGUGAAGCGGGAAAAGCUCAAAUUUGAAAUCUGGCGGUCCUUGGCCGUCCGAGUUGUAAUCUAGAGAAGUGUUGCCCGUGCUGGACCAUGUACAAGUCUCCUGGAAUGGAGCGUCAUAGAGGGUGAGAAUCCCGUCUCUGACAUGGACUCCCAGUGCUUUGUGGUAUGCUCUCAAAGAGUCGAGUUGUUUGGGAAUGCAGCUCAAAAUGGGUGGUAAAUUCCAUCUAAAGCUAAAUAUUGGCGAGAGACCGAUAGCGAACAAGUACCGUGAGGGAAAGAUGAAAAGAACUUUGGAAAGAGAGUUAAACAGUACGUAAAAUUGCUGAAAGGGAAACGCUUGAAGUCAGUCGCGUUGGCCAGGAAUCAGCCUUGCAUUUGCUUGGUGUACUUUCUGGUUGACGGGUCAGCAUCAAUUUUGACUGCUGGAGAAAGGCCUGGGGAAUGUGACAGCUCCGGCUGUGUUAUAGCCCCUUGUCACAUACAGCAGUUGGGAUUGAGGAACUCAGCACGCCGAAAGGCCGGGUUUCGACCACGUCCGUGCUUAGGAUGCUGGCAUAAUGGCUUUAAGCGACCCGUCUUGAAACACGGACCAAGGAGUCUAACAUGCCUGCGAGUGUUUGGGUGGAAAAUCCGAGCGCGUAAUGAAAGUGAAAGUUGAGAUCCCUGUCAUGGGGGAGCAUCGACGCCCGGACCAGAACUUUUGGGACGGAUCCGCGGUAGAGCAUGUAUGUUGGGACCCGAAAGAUGGUGAACUAUGCCUGAAUAGGGUGAAGCCAGAGGAAACUCUGGUGGAGGCUCGUAGCGAUUCUGACGUGCAAAUCGAUCGUCAAAUUUGGGUAUAGGGG